Ananas comosus (pineapple) is the source of this 575-nucleotide long non-coding RNA. RefSeq lists it as uncharacterized. The transcript is spliced from 2 exons. NCBI's taxonomy places the organism in Eukaryota, Viridiplantae, Streptophyta, Magnoliopsida, Poales, Bromeliaceae. The record is from RefSeq and is a predicted model, not a curated record.
GAAGAAAUGAAAGGAAGAGGAAGAAUGAAAAAGAGAAAUCAAGAGAGAGAGAGAGAGAUGGAAAGAAAAGAAUAGAUAGAAUAACAUGAAUGAAGUGGAUGUAGAAAUUGGAUCGAGUGAUGCAAUUGCCGUGAUUCGUACCUCUAAUCUUCAAUUAAUGCACGCAGGGUGUUCGAGAGUGUGAAUUAGUGUGAUACACAUUUCCGAUGAGGCGCAAUGAGGCGCAAUUUAAGUAAUUGCGGGAAAUCGUGCGAAGGGUCGCGUGUAGCCUUUCUUUUAUCGGAGUCGACUUAGCGAGUCGAGGUGGGUUCCGAGUCGUCGAAAACAGCGAAUUUCCUCCUAUGUCUAUUUUGGGGUCGUAUAUUGGCGGUUGAUCUAGGUGAGGGGGAUUGCGCAGUAGUUAGCAUCUCCUAGGGCCACCAGAUAGAGUGCUAUCUUUGUUCAACCUGCUUGUACUGGCGAGGGUCUGGAUUGUUUUCGUAUACUUUCCUUUGUAGUUAAAGUUUAUUUGGUGAUAUUCGUGUUGUACGGCAACUUAGUUGAGAAAUUGCGCACUGAUACAUGCCAUUUGUUUA